This 442-nucleotide ribosomal RNA is filed under the name uncultured bacterium. Its description in RNAcentral is "partial 16S ribosomal RNA". It matches the Rfam family "Bacterial small subunit ribosomal RNA", at positions 338 to 795 of the family's 1533-position model. The record is from RNAcentral.
CCUACGGGGUGCAGCAGUGGGGAAUAUUGGGCAAUGGGCGCAAGCCUGACCCAGCAACGCCGCGUGAAGGAAGAAGGCUUUCGGGCUGUAAACUUCUUUUAAGAGGGAAGAGCAGAAGACGGUACCUCUUGAAUAAGCCACGGCUAACUACGUGCCAGCAGCCGCGGUAAUACGUAGGUGGCAAGCGUUGUCCGGAUUUACUGGGUGUAAAGGGCGUGUAGCCGGGCUGACAAGUCAGAUGUGAAAUUCCGGGGCCCAAACCCGGACCUGCAUUUGAAACCGUUGGGCUUGAGUAUCGGAGAGGCAGGCGGAAUUCCUAGUGUAGCGGUGAAAUGCGUAGAUAUUAGGAGGAACACCAGUGGCGAAGGCGGCCUGCUGGACGACAACUGACGGUGAGGCGCGAAAGCGUGGGGAGCAAACAGGAUUAGAUACCCGGGUAGUC